UUUCCGUAGGUGAACCUGCGGAAGGAUCAUUCAUAAUAAGUGUUUUAUGGCACUUUUUUAAAUCCAUAUCCACCUUGUGCGCAAUGUCAGGGUUGAUUUUUCUCUCGAGAGGUCAGCCCCAAACAUCAACUAUAUCUCAACUCUUUGUCUGAAAAAUAUUAUGAAUAAAACAAUUCAAAAUACAACUUUCAACAACGGAUCUCUUGGCUCUC
Molecule: unclassified non-coding RNA, 212 nt
Filed under: plant metagenome
Description: partial contains small subunit ribosomal RNA, internal transcribed spacer 1, and 5.8S ribosomal RNA
Source: RNAcentral